GACAGAGGGUGCAAACGUUGCUCGGAAUUACUAGGGCGUAAAGCGCGUGUAGGCGGACUGGUGUGUCGGAUGUGAAAUCCCCAGGCUCAACCUGGGAACUGCAUUCGAAACUGCCAGCCUUGAGUGGUGGAGAGGGAAGUGGAAUUCCUGGUGUAGAGGUGAAAUUCGUAGAUAUCAGGAGGAACACCAGUGGCGAAGGCGGCUUCCUGGACACCAACUGACGCUGAGACGCGAAAGCGUGGGGAGCAAACAGG
RNAcentral lists this ribosomal RNA (254 nucleotides) under uncultured bacterium. RNAcentral's name for it is "partial 16S ribosomal RNA". It matches the Rfam family "Bacterial small subunit ribosomal RNA", at positions 524 to 776 of the family's 1533-position model. The record is from RNAcentral.